GCCACUAGUUCAAAAUCUACUAUUCGUCCUUCUAUAGAAUAGACCGGUUUUGUCCUCCUCCUUGCAGGGAGCUUUUCCAAGUUUACCCCAGCUUGUAUACAAAGUUCUAAAAUGGCAGGGAUCCUUGGCACCGUGUGCCUUUCGUCAUGUCCAACUCUUGCCUUACCCACACAGUCAUAGAGAUGGAAGCAUUUAGGGAAAAAAGACUACAUCGCGCACUCCUCCCUUUCUCCAAACAUGAGUAGCACUCCGGGAACCACUGCCUGGACCAACGCAGGU
This 279-nucleotide unclassified non-coding RNA is filed under the name Hevea brasiliensis (rubber tree). Lineage: Eukaryota; Viridiplantae; Streptophyta; Magnoliopsida; Malpighiales; Euphorbiaceae. The record is from RNAcentral.